GAACCCUUGGCACAGUGGUAGCGCGUGAGAUUCCAGAAUGGGAAAUCCUCAAGGUCGUCCGUUCAAUCCGGGCAGGGUUCA
RNAcentral lists this transfer RNA (81 nucleotides) under Dichomitus squalens. It matches the Rfam family "tRNA". Rfam says of the family: Transfer RNA (tRNA) molecules are approximately 80 nucleotides in length. Lineage: Eukaryota; Fungi; Basidiomycota; Agaricomycetes; Polyporales; Polyporaceae. The record is from Rfam by way of RNAcentral.